RNAcentral lists this ribosomal RNA (113 nucleotides) under Rhodococcus sp. Leaf233. Its description in RNAcentral is "partial 16S ribosomal RNA". It matches the Rfam family "Bacterial small subunit ribosomal RNA", at positions 1 to 115 of the family's 1533-position model. Lineage: Bacteria; Bacillati; Actinomycetota; Actinomycetes; Mycobacteriales; Nocardiaceae. The record is from RNAcentral.
UUUUACGGAGAGUUUGAUCCUGGCUCAGGACGAACGCUGGCGGCGUGCUUAACACAUGCAAGUCGAGCGGUAAGGCCUUUCGGGGUACACGAGCGGCGAACGGGUGAGUAACA